GCCAGAUGUGGUGGUGCACACCUGUAAUCCUAGCAUCUUGGGAGGCUGAGACAGGAGGAUCACGAGUUCAAAGCCCGCCUCAGCAAUGGUGAGGAGCUAAGCAAUUCAGUGAGACCCUGUCUCUA
RNAcentral lists this small RNA (125 nucleotides) under Marmota monax (woodchuck). The record is from RNAcentral. Lineage: Eukaryota; Metazoa; Chordata; Mammalia; Rodentia; Sciuridae.